Molecule: ribosomal RNA, 435 nt
Filed under: uncultured bacterium
Lineage: Bacteria
Description: partial 16S ribosomal RNA
Rfam family: Bacterial small subunit ribosomal RNA
Source: RNAcentral
AACGAACGCUGGCGGCAUGCCUAACACAUGCAAGUCGAACGAUUGCCUUCGGGUGAUAGUGGCGCACGGGUGCGUAACGCGUGGGAAUCUGCCCUUAGGUUCGGAAUAACAGCUGGAAACGGCUGCUAAUACCGGAUGAUAUCGCGAGAUCAAAGAUUUAUCGCCUGAGGAUGAGCCCGCGUUGGAUUAGGUAGUUGGUGGGGUAAAGGCCUACCAAGCCGACGAUCCAUAGCUGGUCUGGGAGGAUGAUCAGCCACACUGGGACUGAGACACGGCCCAGACUCCUACGGGAGGCAGCAGUGGGGAAUAUUGGACAAUGGGCGCAAGCCUGAUCCAGCAAUGCCGCGUGAGUGAUGAAGGCCCUAGGGUUGUAAAGCUCUUUUACCCGGGAAGAUAAUGACUGUACCGGGAGAAUAAGCCCCGGCUAACUCCGUG